RNAcentral lists this ribosomal RNA (326 nucleotides) under uncultured eukaryote. RNAcentral describes it as "partial 18S ribosomal RNA". It matches the Rfam family "Eukaryotic small subunit ribosomal RNA", at positions 1470 to 1796 of the family's 1831-position model. The record is from RNAcentral.
CCCUUAGAUGUUCUGGGCCGCACGCGCGCUACACUGACGAAUGCAACGAGCUUAUAACCUUGGCCGAAAGGUCUGGGUAAUCUCCAAAUUUCGUCGUGAUGGGGAUAGAUUAUUGCAAUUAUUAAUCUUCAACGAGGAAUGCCUAGUAAGCGCAAGUCAUCAGUUUGCGUUGAUUACGUCCCUGCCCUUUGUACACACCGCCCGUCGCACCUACCGAUUGGAUGGUCCGGUGAAGCCUCGGGAUUGUGGUUCUUGCCGCUUUAUUGUGGCGUGACCGCGAGAACUUGUCUAAACCUUAUCAUCUAGAGGAAGGUGAAGUCGUAACA